RNAcentral lists this ribosomal RNA (502 nucleotides) under uncultured bacterium. RNAcentral describes it as "partial 16S ribosomal RNA". It matches the Rfam family "Bacterial small subunit ribosomal RNA", at positions 28 to 507 of the family's 1533-position model. The record is from RNAcentral.
GACGAACGCUGGCGGCGUGCCUAAUACAUGCAAGUCGAACGAACCGCGACUAAGUGCUUGCACUAAGUCAAGGUGAGUGGCGAACGGGUGAGUAACACGUGGGUAACCUACCUCAUAGUGGGGGAUAACAGUCGGAAACGACUGCUAAUACCGCAUAGGACAUAGGAUCACAUGAUCCAGUGAGGAAAGGUGGCGCAAGCUAUCGCUAAGAGAUGGACCCGCGGUGCAUUAGCUAGUUGGUAGGGUAAAGGCCUAUCAAGGCGAUGAUGCAUAGCCGACCUGAGAGGGUGAUCGGCCACAUUGGGACUGAGACACGGCCCAAACUCCUACGGGAGGCAGCAGUAGGGAAUCUUCCGCAAUGGACGCAAGUCUGACGGAGCAACGCCGCGUGAGUGAAGAAGGUCUUCGGAUCGUAAAGCUCUGUUGUUAGAGAAGAACAGCGCAUAGAGUAACUGCUAUGCGUGUGACGGUAUCUAACCAGAAAGCCACGGCUAACUACGUG